ACAGUGUGUUCUGGGGACAGGCAGCUCGUGGAUAGUGAGGAGAUGUUUGCUGUAUGUGACAAAAAAUCUUGUAGCCUAAAACACACGUGACAUCGCUUACAGCACCUUUAAAGGUUAACAAAUCAUUUGG
Etheostoma spectabile (orangethroat darter) is the source of this 130-nucleotide long non-coding RNA. RefSeq lists it as uncharacterized. The transcript has 3 exons. The record is from RefSeq and is a predicted model, not a curated record. NCBI's taxonomy places the organism in Eukaryota, Metazoa, Chordata, Actinopteri, Perciformes, Percidae.